Molecule: non-coding RNA, 1160 nt
Filed under: Trichomonas vaginalis G3
Lineage: Eukaryota; Parabasalia; Trichomonadida; Trichomonadidae
Description: Eukaryotic large subunit ribosomal RNA
Rfam family: Eukaryotic large subunit ribosomal RNA
Source: Rfam by way of RNAcentral
GACUCAUCGAACCACCUAAUAGCUGGUUUCCUCCGAAGUUUCCCUCAGGAUAGCUGUAAUGCAUUUAGUUAAGGGGAGUAGAGAUAUGGGUAGAGGUGCAGGGAGCUUCGGGUUCUCAACUUAUUUCCAAACUUCGAACCUCCUUGUUAGGCAUUUACCUAACUGGAAAUGCUUAAAUGAAUUAGCGUUACAAGUGGGCUCUGACCGGUAAGCGGUCAUGGCGAAAUGGGAUGAACCAUACGUCUGAAUAAGGUGCCGAAAUGUACUAUCACUGAUACCAUAAAGGGAGUCCAUGUAUUUAGACAGCAGGUCGGUGCCCCUAAAAGCAGGUAUCCGCUAAAGAGUGUGUUAAAACUCACCUGCCGAAUACUAGGGCCCCGAAAAUGAAUGGCGCAUAUAGUACUACCGAUCUCAGACAUCAGUUCUAUUGAACUGAGAGUAGGGGGAUGUGGACAUUUUUGUGAAGGUGCAAUGUGAGUUGGACUGGAAGAAUGUCUAUUACAGAUCCUAAUUGAAGUAGCGAUUAUCCAGGCUUGUAUCCUGGGGGCUGAUGAGGAGUAGGGUUUCUGGACAACUUAAACAGAUCCAGAGUUAGUCGAUCCUAAUCUCAAUAAUGGGAGAAAGGGAGUACAGUUGAUAUUCUGUAACUGACAACAGUUCGCGGCAACGCAUACUAUUUUUCUCCGCCAAUCUUAUACCGUUGGUAGGGAUCUCUUUCCUACAUGACAGUACUAAUACCCAGGGAAACUGGUCAUCAGGCGAACUGCGGCGUUCUGCUGGCAAAACAUAGCUUCGGUUAUGUCAAUGGCUAUUGGAUUGGUCCAUGAAGCGAAAAAUAGUUUACUGUGUCACUCGUACCGAUAACCGCAUCAGGUCUUCUAGGUAAGUAGCCUAUGGCCAUUGAGGCAUGAUAGUUCAGGGAAUUCGGCCAAUUAGAGCUGUAACUUCGGGAUAAAGCUUGGCUCUGAUGAAAAUCAGAACCGAUUGUUACGCGGAGAGCCCAACUGUUUAAUAAAAACGUAGUGUCGCGCUGUGGUAGUAUAGCCAGUGAACGCGACAUGAAUCCUGCUCAGUGCUGUGUCUGUUAAUAUGGUUCAAGCCAACGAAGCACCGGUAAAUAGCUGGGGUAACUAUGACUCUUAUCAAAGUAGCGAAAUACC